This 3658-nucleotide long non-coding RNA is filed under the name Scophthalmus maximus (turbot). RNAcentral describes it as "lncRNA (ENSSMAG00000035337.1)". Lineage: Eukaryota; Metazoa; Chordata; Actinopteri; Pleuronectiformes; Scophthalmidae. The record is from RNAcentral.
AAAAUAUCCAAGUCGUCCAUUUAAUUAGCAGAUACAUUGUGUGCUCAUGCAACUCGCGGCAAGAGAGGGAAAAAAACACAUUUGGUUUACUAGUUUCUAAUAUAUGGUUUCAUGUGUGGAGGCAUCAUUAUAAUGUGUUUAAUGAGUUGUGUUCUUUGUAUAAGUCCCUUUCAUUUAAAAGUGAUUACAUGGAUGGAUUAGGUAAACAGUAGGCCAACACAACAAUACUAUUUCAGACGGCCCCCGACAGAAAAAAAGACUGAUAAAUUGUUGUUUGUUCAGAUUUCUGAAACUACUUAUAUUUAAUUUGACCUCAAAUGACUUAAAAGAACUUAGAUUCCUGUUUUUCUUACCAACAGUUGACAUUUUUUUCUUUUUAUUAAUCACCAUGAUCGUCUCCUAACUUUAAAGGUUCUAUAUGUAGGUAUUUUCCAUUGCCAUCUUGCCAAUUUUAGCAUUAACUGCUGUUUACCCACAAAUCCAGAAGAACAUUGCAAGUUCGGCAUCAAACUUAAUUCCUUUACUAUUCCUUUAGAGCUGUCUCCAGUGGCUGAGACCAUAGACAAUUCUUGUUUUGCUUCUAUCUCCAGCUCUCCUUUUCUUUGCCUCUGAAGGUGGUUUCUCACCUUCUGAGCCGCACAACUCCUUCUUCCUCUCAUGUUGGACUGAGGGCAAGAUGGACGCCACGGUGACUCUCUGUCACCUCUUGAGGGACAGCAAUAUCACAAGACGCAAUGCCUUCAAGACGGGAGCCAGAACUGCACUGGAAAAAGAAACGCUGCCACACGGUGUAUAUACCUGGGAAAAAAAGAAACGAUCAUGCCACUGUGUCAUUACCCAGCCUUGACUCUCUCAGAGCAGUCACAUUCAAAGAGCAUUUUUCAGGAGCACCCUCCCCAGCACGACGAGUAAGCAUGGCUAAUGGAAAUCUAAUCAGCAGCAAGAGAGGACAGCCGGCAUAAAGCAACAGAUAAUAAAUAGAAGAAAGAUGCAAAUGGUAUUUAUUUUAGACAGGCAGCGCUGACAAGCCUGAUAAUGCCUCCUCAUGCAAUUUCUCCCUGAAGCUUCCUUUUGAUUGCUCCAAAGUUGUAUGCACCAUAUUUCACAGCCUAUCGUUUAUGGAAUAAAUUGUUUUAUUCAUAGAAAUGUUUUCAUUUUUUCCCCCCGACCGUCUCUUGUCAGUGGUGCAUGAGCACCACGACAGUAAACCUAAAUUAAUAAAGAGCAAUGUAAAUUGCUGCAGUCAUUACACACCAGCAGCACUUAAGAACUGGAAACAUCCACAUAUUUUAGGCUGAAAUGAAAUUCCUUUUGUGCUCUGCGCUAGUGUUAACAAGAUUAUACUUUCGGCUGAAAGAUGAGAUCUGAAUGCUCUAUAACCUGCCUCCAACCAAAAUGGCUUACACUGCCUUGUUCUCCCAAACUGGCUGUAGAGUGGCAUUUCUUGUAAUUGCACCAGCUGUAAUGACACAUUUAACCACAUGAGUUGUGCACAUACAGCCUACACAUGAUGCUGAUUCUGUAUUUCUUCUCAUAAUGAACGCACUCUGGAUUUCAACAAUAGUAUAAAAGUAUUUUGUGACUCUGUGCAGGGACUGAAUCCUUUCAAAGUUAAGUGAUCACAGACAUUUUCAGCCCCUAUCUAAGUGCCAAAAGUAUUAAUGCUACGUUUUAUUUUUAGUUUCAAAUAUUUCUCACAAGUGCAGCACAUUUGAUUAAAUCAUUGGAAACAACAUCAUCUACAGCGACUGUUAAACUUUUCUGUUAAAACUGUGAAAAUCAUCUCACGACGAGGUCAAAUGAGAAGCUGGUCUGGAGCAUCAUAUACAGUAGUUUUGCCAGUUGUGCAAUUUUACAUAUUUACAUUUUCCUUUAUUCAUUAGCACUUUAAAGUUCUAAUCCUUACAACAUCAGCCCUGGUAGAUUUGUCAAUAAAUGUGGUUGCUAGUGGGUUUAGCAGGUGCACUACAACGUUACAACAAGCCCUUGCUGACAUUCGCUGAGCAGCUGUUUUGUCAAAAAAAUACAAAAGAAGAUCAGCUGGUGUAUUUAUUUACAACACAGCCAAACAAACCCAUGUUGUUUUAAUUCCAACUGAUUCACUGUCAGAAAAAAAAAGCCAAAAAAUAACCAUGUCUUGUUUUGUAGAUGCAUUUAUGAAAGACACUAAAUAAUAGGAAAUUAAAUUUCAAUGGUAUGUUGACUACUUGUUCCCACAGCCCACAAACGAGCCAAGAAUAUAGGUUCUCAAAGGUUGAAGGAAGUGUCCACGUGGGUUAAGAGUCUGCAGUUUAAAAAAAAAAAGGUCUUUAUAAUAGUUGAAUAUCCAUCCACUGAUUAUUCGACCAGGCCAAGUUUCAUUCCAAAUUGAGUGUAUAUCAACAGUAUAAUUUGCCCAUGAAAGGGCUUCACUAUGCACCAUGGAUCAACAAGUUUUCGCAUUUGUCCAGCAGUAAGUUUGUCCCGUAGCCCAGGUGCAUCUGUGCCACACAGGAGCGCAGCCUGUCAUUAGCACUAAUAUAGCAGUCAGGGGAGCUGCAGAAUUGUUACUUGGUCUCGAGUCUUUUUGUUUUUUCCUCAACUCAAGUAUGAAUCUGGCAAAUACCUUGGUGUCAGUGCGCUGGGUCUGUUCAGCUGUACCGAGAAGCGUUUCCGCAGAGGCAUUCCUUAUCAAGUCUUGGUUUUGGUCCUCAGCAGCUCGUGGUUGGACUUCACUGAACGGCUUCAGAUACUGUCAACACUGUCACACAUCUCCAACCGGCAGCCUAUCAGAGAGAAAGAGUCAUUAGAUGAAUCGUGGCACUACAUGUGCACAGCAUCUAGUCUCUGUGUAAUAUCAUUUCAAAUAUAAAAGCACUGCUAGAGCUUCUUAUAAUUUUUAAUUGUUCUGUAUAUAAUGAUUUUGAGCUGAAUAUUCCCCUCCACAUACAGUUUGUUUAGAAAACUUUAAGCAUUAAUUCUGCAGCAGCUUCCAGCUACAUGCUGCCACAGAUUUCUGGUUUGAUAUUGAUGUAUAAUCUCUAAUGUAUAAACACCUUGGGCUCUACUUUAACAAUCUAAGUGCUUGAUCUAAAGCGCAAGGUGGUUUAGCGAUGAAAAAAAAAAAGGUUGCUGUGCCAGGGACAUGGUUCAAAGAGUUGUACUUAUUGUAUUGAUCAUAGGUGUGUUUCAGGCGUAACAUGCAAUAAAGCUAUCAGAGUGCCAUCUCCCAUUCGCUUCAUAAGCCAUGUGUGCAUGCCCUUUCAAAUAAAAAAAAUUAUAAAACACCCUCCCUCUGACUUAGAGAUGCCAUGUCCUCAGCAGGCAUUCAGAUUUCUAAAUGAGGAUGAACUUAGUGGAUUCUACUGAGCAUAUUGCUUUCGGAGCAAAUAUGACAAAGAGGGAACUCGCUGCUUGAUGUCCUGCUGAGAUAACACACGUUUCCCUGACAUCAUUUUUUUCCCCUCCUUUCAUAACUGCCUUAAGUGGUAAAAAACAAAACAACCACAGGACUAUAUUUCAGACUGACAAAUGCAAUCCCAUCACUGGUCAAACUAAGCAAAUCAUGAAAGAUUUUGUGUUAAGAUUUUUCUUUUAGCAUCCUACUUUGAAAAGAAUCCAUGAAAUUUGGCUAAAAACGUGACUUGGGAUUGAAAACACAGCCUCAGCUCGCAGGGAA